Cyprinus carpio (common carp) is the source of this 373-nucleotide long non-coding RNA. RefSeq lists it as uncharacterized. The record is from RefSeq and is a predicted model, not a curated record. Lineage: Eukaryota; Metazoa; Chordata; Actinopteri; Cypriniformes; Cyprinidae. The transcript is spliced from 3 exons.
CCCAAAGACUUCUCAAACCUCAGGAUCUCUGCUAAUAGUGCUGAUCACUGCUGCUGGAUCUCUGGUGAUUGUGCCUGUGAUUGUGUUGUUUUGUAUCUGCAGGAAACACAGAGACGCAGUUCAUGAAGACGAGACUCCAGCUGCUGCAUUACUCUACAAACACACUGAACUAAUGAUGGAAUCAGACGUGACGGAGGUGAUUUACACCGGUUUCACCACAGAACACUGAUCAAACUCUCCCUGAUUCUGUUUCCUCACAAAUCAUAUACUGAUCACUGCUGAUAUUACUGCAUCUGGCUUUUACACUCUUACUGUUUCAAAUUUUUUUUUUAAUUUGUCAGUUGUAUUUCUUCUAAGUGAUUUCUGAGUUUAU